UUUUGUAGCCAUACCUGCAGUUCAGACUAUGUAGUCCUUCUAAAGCUAAGCAGGUUUAGGCCUGUCCAGUACUUGGAUGGGAGACCAACCUGGAAAACUGGGUUGCUGCUGGAA
RNAcentral lists this ribosomal RNA (114 nucleotides) under Paramormyrops kingsleyae. Lineage: Eukaryota; Metazoa; Chordata; Actinopteri; Osteoglossiformes; Mormyridae. The record is from RNAcentral.